Molecule: long non-coding RNA, 333 nt
Filed under: Salvia miltiorrhiza (redroot sage)
Lineage: Eukaryota; Viridiplantae; Streptophyta; Magnoliopsida; Lamiales; Lamiaceae
Description: long non-coding RNA (SMIL_LNC010122)
Source: RNAcentral
CGAUAUUAACAUCACGGAACAAACUGGAUAAUUUUAUUUUAUUUCUCGUUAUUUUUUUUUGAACAGCAUCAACUAUUCACGUUUCUUCUUCUUUUUUCACCACUAUUUAAAAAUCACUCAACAAAACCAAAAAAACAUCCGGAAUACGUAGUUACGCAACAUCAAACAAAUAAUAAUACAAAAAAAGACGCACGAUACAUUUAACAUUAAUCACACAAAAAAAUUACUAAGUGAAAUUUCUGCCUAAACUCAUGCUCCCUCCGUCCUAUUGAUAAUAAUUUAUAUAUUUUUCUUUUUCUAUUUGUCCUAUUAAUAAUAACUUGUUCCAAAAAA